CAUUCUGCAGGUUGAUGAAUACUAAUGAAGCUGUGGGUGUCACUGAGCAGCUUCAUUUUAAAGUUACCCUGACUUACAUCUGCUGCAGUAAUUCUGAGAUUGGUGGUAAAUGUCGGUGUGGUGUAGCUUAAUGGAUUUUGGUCUGAUCAAUGAUGAAACCAAUCCCGAAGCUGAUAACCUGGAGAAAGGCAUGUACGGAUUCGGCUUCUGAGACAAGACUAAUGUGCAGAUUGAGGGGUUGCUGUCUGCCUGUUGAAAGAAGUCGGUGUGCUGUGACAUUUCGAAGGUGGAAACAUUUCUGACUAGUGCUGCGAGAUUUACUUGUCUGUCAUAUGAAAAAUCUGGUGAUUGGGAAAAUCUCCAUUUUAUGGAUGUGGGAAGAAAGUUCAAGAUGAAUUAUAUUUUUACAUUGAUUUGUACAUAGAUUCUGAACCAGCAUAGAGUCUAGAUAAUGCAUUCAUAAGAGUCAAGGCAUUUCUGUUUGACCAUGACACUACUGUAGAAUCAUAACCUGUUAACCAGUGUAUUACUUUCUACCUGUGAAACUAUUUUGAAAGGAAAAUUCUAGUUAUCCAGCCUUGUAAUUAAAUAAUUUUGAAUAGCCUUUGGUUCUCUGUCUGUCUGAAUUGAGUUUAAAACUGCGUGAUUGUAAUUAACACCAAGUUAAAGUGUAUACUCUUGCGGUGGAAUCUUUAGUCAGAUUUCUAUGGAGAGAUAAUUUGGUUUGGCAAGAAUAAGUAAUGUGGAAAAUGUUAGCUUCAAUCAGGGUGUUAUGUAUUACUGAAUUAAUGGGGUGAGAGCAAAGUGUAAGAGAUGGGACCUGUUAACAGUGAGGGAAGGUCACUGAUAAAAUCUGGGUUAAAACUGGUCAAGCACUGUAUGGAAUGGGUUAAAUAAUAGCAUCUAAUCUAACCGAGGUGGUUGGGCCCUGCUGCUGUUAAGUCUUCAAUCGUGUCCAACUCUGCGACCCCAUUCUCUAGGCAAGAAUACUGGAGUGGGUUGCCAUUUCCUUCUCCUGUUGGGCCCUAACCCUAACCUGUUCCCAUAUUUAAAUGUUAAAGUCAGUGCCAAUAUUAUCAUCUGAAUGAACUCUUAAAUUGUUUGCCUGCAGAAGUGAAGAGAUGAUUUUGGGGCCCAUGUACCUCAGAUUCAUGAGACUGAGCCUGUAGUUGAGUGCCCAGUAUUUCUUGUGGUGGUAAAUGACCUCCAUGUAUAACUUCAUGUUAGUGCAUUUAUUAUGUCCAUUCAGAAAUGAGACUGCAGUCAGCACCCUGAUCUCCCUUACUCUGCUGUAUUUGGAACUGAAGUGUGGUUUAUAAAAUCUGAGCACUGGCAUACCUGUAUCUAGACACCUUAAUAACAACCUGGCACUUGGUUGCCAAUAAAUGUUGAAUGCUUAAUUGAGGGGGACUUUGAUGGUCCAGUGGUUAAGAUUGCUUCCAGUGUAGGUGCUGCGGGUAGGGUUGGUGAGCCCACAUGCAGAGUGGUGCAGCCAAAAACCUAAAACUGAAUGGCUAACAUGACAUUAAAACAUCAAAACAAGGCAAACUUAAGAAUCAGACUUGGUUUUAGAGCACUUAAGUUUUCCCUUAUGGCUCAGUUGGUAAAGGAUCUGUCUGCAAUGCAGGAGUCCCUUUCCCUCCCAGUCAAUCUUAAGAUUCAAAUGAUGUACACAUGUUUAAUUGCACUAUAGUGGGUUGGAUCCCACUACAAUGAGAGUUUGAUCCAAAUAAAAAUAAGUCCACUUGAGAGUGUAAGUAUUAAAAAUGGAUUGAAAACAUACAGUUGUGGAAGUUGGGAAAGCUCAUUGUACUGAUGCAAUGGAUAUGACUGAGCAAACUCAAAGGCAAGGGAAGCCUAGGAUGCUGCUGUUCACGCCAGUAAUAAUUUUCUCAGCUUUACACCAUGCUUCCAGGUUAUCUUAAAAUACAGUAGAUUGAAUACUGUUUGGUAUUUUCUAGUGAAGUGAAGGUUGCUCAGUCACAUCCAACUCUUUGCAACCCAUUGGACUGUGUAGUCCAUGGUAUUCUCCAGGUCAGAAUACAUUCCCUUCUCCAGGAGAUCUUCCCAACCCAGGGGUCUUACCCAUGUCUCCUACAUUGCAAGCAGAUUCACUGAAGUGAGCCACCAGGGAAGCCCAAACUAGUUAUAUUGCCAGAAAUCCAAUAUCCAUUGCACUUGGCUUCCUUAUCAAGUGCCCUCUGAACUGUUUAUACUGUUCAUAAUCCUUGCUGUUUGCCCAGCUUCUGAGAACUUUUGGCUGUUUUUAAACCAGUUUCUCCAUUAAACUUAGAGCCUUUAAAUGCCAACCUAUGUACAGAUAACCAGGCUUCCCUGGUGGCUCAGGGUAAAGCGUCUGCCUGCAAUGCGAGAGACCUGGGUUCAAUCCCUGGGUCGGGAAGAUCCCCUGGAGAAGGAAAUGGCAACCCACUCCAGUAUUGUUGCCUGGAGAACAGCACAGACGGAGGAGCCUGGUAGGCUACAGUCCACGGAGUUGCAAAGAGUCACACGACUGAGUGACUUCACUUUGCUUUUUCCUUUCCUAUAUACAGAUGAGUCAAAAUACAAGCAUGCUACAGUUUCUAUGGAUCAUCUUGAGGUGGAAGAAGGGUACCUUUCCAGUAUGAAAACCAGACUUGGUCUCAUUCUCACAAAUCCUGGCCUCAUCUUCUGACCACUAGUCAACCUGAGGUCCUGACAUGCUAUGCAGCUGAGUUAUAACAGGAUAUAGAUUUAACCUCACAAGAAUCCCACACUGAGUACAGUAUAAUACAUCCAUCUUAUUUGGAAACUUCACCUUAGUUAUGCUUAGUUGAUUAAGUUCUCUUCAAAAGAGUUAACAAUGGAAAGAGCAUUUCAGAAUACUCAGAAUUCACCAUUUGAAGAAGAUGUUUGCUAACAGUGAUUACUGAGGUCAGGGAACUUGACCCUUGCCUCCUAACUACUGAAUAUAUAUAUGUGUCAAUAAAUGGUUCAUUUUAAAAGUG
This is a long non-coding RNA of Cervus elaphus (red deer), 2987 nucleotides long. RefSeq lists it as uncharacterized. The record is from RefSeq and is a predicted model, not a curated record. The transcript is spliced from 3 exons. NCBI's taxonomy places the organism in Eukaryota, Metazoa, Chordata, Mammalia, Artiodactyla, Cervidae.